Molecule: unclassified non-coding RNA, 309 nt
Filed under: plant metagenome
Description: partial contains 5.8S ribosomal RNA, internal transcribed spacer 2, and large subunit ribosomal RNA
Rfam family: 5.8S ribosomal RNA (bases 1-105)
Source: RNAcentral
GAAAUGCGAUAAGUAGUGUGAAUUGCAGAAUUCAGUGAAUCAUCGAAUCUUUGAACGCACAUUGCGCCCUUUGGUAUUCCAAAGGGCAUGCCUGUUCGAGCGUCAUUUGUACCCUCAAGCUUUGCUUGGUGUUGGGCGUCUUGUCUCCCUUUGCGGGGAGACUCGCCUUAAAGUCAUUGGCAGCCGGCCUACUGGUUUCGGAGCGCAGCACAAGUCGCGCUCUCUUCCAGCCCCAAGGUCUAGCAUCCACCAAGCCUUUUUUUCAACUUUUGACCUCGGAUCAGGUAGGGAUACCCGCUGAACUUAAGC